RNAcentral lists this ribosomal RNA (468 nucleotides) under uncultured bacterium. RNAcentral describes it as "partial 16S ribosomal RNA". The stretch from base 58 to 468 matches the Rfam family "Bacterial small subunit ribosomal RNA", at positions 39 to 507 of the family's 1533-position model. The record is from RNAcentral.
GGGGGGGGGGGGGGGGGGGGGGGGGGCAGGCGGGGCGGGGGGAGGGGCCCGGCUUGGGGGGGGGGCUCGAGUGGCGAACGGGUGAGUAACACGUGAGUAACCUGCCCUUGACUUUGGGAUAGCUUCAGGAACCUGGGGCUAAUACCGGAUAGGAGCUCCUGCUGCAUGGUGUGGUGUGGAAAGUUUCGGCGGUUGGGGAUGGACUCGCGGCUUAUCAGCUGGUUGGUGGGGUAGUGGCUUACCAAGGAUUUGACGGGUAGCCGGGCUGAGAGGGUGACCGGCCACAUUGGGACUGAGAUACGGCCCAGACUCCUACGGGAGGCAGCAGUGGGGAAUAUUGCACAAUGGGCGGAAGCCUGAUGCAGCAACGCCGCGUGCGGGAUGACGGCCUUCGGGUUGUAAACCGCUUUCGCCUGUGACGAAGCGGGAGUGACGGUAAUGGGUAAAGAAGCACCGGCUAACUACGUG